AGCUUUUGACAUGUCCGGUAUGGUCGUCAGAAAUGACUUCCUUCCCGCAAGGGGCCUGUAUAUAGGUGCUGCAUGGCUGUCGUCAGCUCGUGUCGUGAGAUGUUGGGUUAAGUCCCGCAACGAGCGCAACCCUUAUUACCAGUUGCUACCAUUUAGUUGGGCACUCUAAGGGGACUGCCGGUGAUAAGCCGGAGGAAGGUGGGGAUGACGUCAAGUCCUCAUGGCCCUUACGGCCUGGGCUACACACGUGCUACAAUGGCGGUGACAGAGGGAUGCGAAGGCGCGAGCCUUGGCUAAUCUCAAAAAGCCGUCUCAGUUCGGAUUGGGGUCUGCAACUCGACCCCAUGAAGUUGGAAUCGCUAGUAAUCGUGGAUCAGCACGCCACGGUGAAUACGUUCCCGGGCC
Molecule: ribosomal RNA, 405 nt
Filed under: uncultured bacterium
Lineage: Bacteria
Description: bacterial SSU rRNA
Rfam family: Bacterial small subunit ribosomal RNA
Source: RNAcentral